Dreissena polymorpha is the source of this 2487-nucleotide long non-coding RNA. RefSeq lists it as uncharacterized. NCBI's taxonomy places the organism in Eukaryota, Metazoa, Mollusca, Bivalvia, Myida, Dreissenidae. The record is from RefSeq and is a predicted model, not a curated record. The transcript is spliced from 13 exons.
ACGGAACUCGAGCCGAGGAAUCAUAGGUCCAGGCGGUGUCGAAAUGGGUCUAUAGCUCUGCCUGAACUGUCGUCCAAUUGGUUUACAAGUCCGGCUGAAGUGACAGGCCAUCAAAAACUGUACAGUGUGACUGAUUCGGAGACGGCCCUCAACACUCGCCCAGUCGUGUCGAGAGGAUCGGUGUCUUUGCAGAUUACACGGAAUUGAGCACCCGGGCCAGACUGACACUUUCCGGAGCCUGCCCUAGACGGAACUCGAGCCGAGGAAUCAUAGGUCCAGGCGGUGUCGAAAUGGGUCUAUAGCUCUGCCUGAACUGUCGUCCAAUUGGUUUACAAGUCCGGCUGAAGUGACAGGCCAUCAAAAACUGUACAGUGUGACUGAUUCGGAGACGGCCCUCAACACUCGCCCAGUCGUGUCGAGAGGAUCGGUGUCUUUGCAGAUUACACGGAAUUGAGCACCCGGGCCAGACUGACACUUUCCGGAGCCUGCCCUAGACGGAACUCGAGCCGAGGAAUCAUAGGUCCAGGCGGUGUCGAAAUGGGUCUAUAGCUCUGCCUGAACUGUCGUCCAAUUGGUUUACAAGUCCGGCUGAAGUGACAGGCCAUCAAAAACUGUACAGUGUGACUGAUUCGGAGACGGCCCUCAACACUCGCCCAGUCGUGUCGAGAGGAUCGGUGUCUUUGCAGAUUACACGGAAUUGAGCACCCGGGCCAGACUGACACUUUCCGGAGCCUGCCCUAGACGGAACUCGAGCCGAGGAAUCAUAGGUCCAGGCGGUGUCGAAAUGGGUCUAUAGCUCUGCCUGAACUGUCGUCCAAUUGGUUUACAAGUCCGGCUGAAGUGACAGGCCAUCAAAAACUGUACAGUGUGACUGAUUCGGAGACGGCCCUCAACACUCGCCCAGUCGUGUCGAGAGGAUCGGUGUCUUUGCAGAUUACACGGAAUUGAGCACCCGGGCCAGACUGACACUUUCCGGAGCCUGCCCUAGACGGAACUCGAGCCGAGGAAUCAUAGGUCCAGGCGGUGUCGAAAUGGGUCUAUAGCUCUGCCUGAACUGUCGUCCAAUUGGUUUACAAGUCCGGCUGAAGUGACAGGCCAUCAAAAACUGUACAGUGUGACUGAUUCGGAGACGGCCCUCAACACUCGCCCAGUCGUGUCGAGAGGAUCGGUGUCUUUGCAGAUUACACGGAAUUGAGCACCCGGGCCAGACUGACACUUUCCGGAGCCUGCCCUAGACGGAACUCGAGCCGAGGAAUCAUAGGUCCAGGCGGUGUCGAAAUGGGUCUAUAGCUCUGCCUGAACUGUCGUCCAAUUGGUUUACAAGUCCGGCUGAAGUGACAGGCCAUCAAAAACUGUACAGUGUGACUGAUUCGGAGACGGCCCUCAACACUCGCCCAGUCGUGUCGAGAGGAUCGGUGUCUUUGCAGAUUACACGGAAUUGAGCACCCGGGCCAGACUGACACUUUCCGGAGCCUGCCCUAGACGGAACUCGAGCCGAGGAAUCAUAGGUCCAGGUGUGACAAAAGACUUAAAGCUCAUGUCUGACGAUGACUUUUUUUAGUCAGGAAGCCAAGUGUGUUGUUUUUCCAUGCAAGCGAGCCCUUUUGUUGGGUCAAAUGACAUCAGCAUUGCUGCUUCUACAUGGAUUUUACCUAAAAUGUGCAAAAAAAAUAUAAAAAGUUUGUUCGAAUCCAGUUCAAAACCUGCUUUGAUGCACAAAUAUUGCCAUUGAUGAUUUUUUUCACUUAUUAAGCCAUAUGUAAGAUAAGCUUUGCCUAUUAGAAUCGAAAGACAUGCCUUGUAUGGAGUCUAAGUGCUGCAUGUAUGAUGUAACCGAGUUUGGCUUUUCUACCUUAAUUCUUGACGCGAAACGCUGUUACGCAUGGCGCUUUCAACGGCAACUUUUAUGAAUUAAUCUGUGUGUCAUUGUACCGGAACUUUGUGAUCUUUCUCAAAACAGAUUAUACCUGUGGGAAAAGUGCCUUUAAUUUAAAUUUGAAGGGGUUGGGUUCUCUUAAAGGUCACAUAACCCCAAACCGGAACUCCUGUUUUUAGGGUUACAUGCAGUCAGUUUGAUACUUAGCACACAUUGUUGAGUGCAUGCUGCCUAGGAUUUGUAAAAUACAUUGCAAAUGGUUGGUUUUGGUAUCAACUUGAAGGUAUAUUUGUAAGCAAUAAGAAAAUAAGCCAUUUUUGUGCUCUACUUUUUGUGUUGAUGGUUCCCGGCUUCGAAAGUAGGUCAUACUAUUUGAGCCCAAAAUGGUUGUCUGCACAGCUGUCAAAACCGGUUUGCCUAUUCUAAGGUAAAUAUUUUGAGUUUGCGCGUAUAGAAUUUAAUGACAUGCAUUUUUUUCAAAAGAUUAUGCAUUAAUCUUUCCAAUGAUGUAUGAUGAUAUAGUGGGUAUGCGCUUGAUCAUGGUAAAAAUUGAUAUCGAACUUCAACUAUUUUAUAUGUAAUAUAGAAGGAAAUUAAUUGCGCAUGCGUAA